This is a non-coding RNA of Amborella trichopoda, 47 nucleotides long. Lineage: Eukaryota; Viridiplantae; Streptophyta; Magnoliopsida; Amborellales; Amborellaceae. The record is from Rfam.
CAAAUGGAUUCUUUAGAAUCCAUUUUUCAUUAAUUUUCAAUUUUAUU